CGCUGGCGGCAGGCCUAACACAUGCAAGUCGAGCGGUAGCACAGAGAGCUUGCUCUCGGGUGACGAGCGGCGGACGGGUGAGUAAUGUCUGGGAAACUGCCUGAUGGAGGGGGAUAACUACUGGAAACGGUAGCUAAUACCGCAUAANGUCGCAAGACCAAAGUGGGGGACCUUCGGGCCUCAUGCCAUCAGAUGUGCCCAGAUGGGAUUAGCUAGUAGGUGGGGUAACGGCUCACCUAGGCGACGAUCCCUAGCUGGUCUGAGAGGAUGACCAGCCACACUGGAACUGAGACACGGUCCAGACUCCUACGGGAGGCAGCAGUGGGGAAUAUUGCACAAUGGGCGCAAGCCUGAUGCAGCCAUGCCGCGUGUGUGAAGAAGGCCUUCGGGUUGUAAAGCACUUUCAGCGGGGAGGAAGGCG
This 421-nucleotide ribosomal RNA is filed under the name Klebsiella pneumoniae. RNAcentral describes it as "bacterial SSU rRNA". It matches the Rfam family "Bacterial small subunit ribosomal RNA", at positions 34 to 453 of the family's 1533-position model. Lineage: Bacteria; Pseudomonadati; Pseudomonadota; Gammaproteobacteria; Enterobacterales; Enterobacteriaceae. The record is from RNAcentral.